ACACAAAAUUUCAAACUCAAACCAGGAAUCGAUGAAUGAAAUACCUUUCCGAUGCGGUCGUCUCUUUGAUCUUAAAACGGGUUUGAUCUUAAAACGGGUUUGAAUAUCCUUAUGGGUUUGAUGGAUCUGAGUUUGCUGAAUGGGUUUGAUGGAUCUGUUUGCUAUGGGUAAGAUCUGUUUCUCUAAUAACAACUCUAUCUUUUACCUUUCUCUGGUUUUCUGAUUGUUUUAGAAAAUUUCCUCCCUUCUCUCAGUUCUGUUUGCCUCAAUUUAUAAGAGAAACGGCUAAUGUUUUCAUUACAAAUACAUGUUCUGGAUUUUGUAUUGUUAUUCAACAAAAAUUCAUUGGAUUUUACACUGUUUUUGUAAUAAAAUUUAAGCAAGGUACCAUCAAGGAAAAAGAAGAGAAGCCUGUUAACUUUACAUUGAAUGUAUUGUAUUUCUUUAUUAAGCUAAAAGAAUAAUAAAAGAAACCGGUUUAUGACAUGUUUGCAACAGGAUCUUCACAAGGUAUAAAAGAUAAAGGAUGGGUCUUUGCAAGAUAAAGGAUGGGUCUUUGCAAGUUGUUUGUGAGCAAUUGUUUUUUUGAGUGAUGCUGGGUUGAAAGGAAACUUUGUUGAACAUAAUGUUGAAGACUUGUGAACGAAAGGAAACGUGUGGC
This 661-nucleotide long non-coding RNA is filed under the name Cicer arietinum (chickpea). RNAcentral's name for it is "long non-coding RNA (CARI_LNC002521)". Lineage: Eukaryota; Viridiplantae; Streptophyta; Magnoliopsida; Fabales; Fabaceae. The record is from RNAcentral.